UGUACUGAAAUACUUAUAUACAAAAAGUAUUGGGUGGUGGUUGACCUUAUAAGGUUAUAUUGUAGAAGACAGUAAAUAAUAAUUACUUACAAACUUUGGAAAUAUUACGUAAGAAAUGCAACGUGUAAUGUAGGAUACUCAUUAGUAAGGGACAUGCUAGAGAACGUAGGUGAAUUAACACCAAAUACGGUGAACGAACAAAUGGAAAUGAUAUAUUAAGAAAUGGUCAUGAAUUGACCGAAGCUCGAGAAAAACACGAGAAUCAUCUCACUUAUGUCCAGUCAAGCUAGCAAAAAGGGGUCUAACGAUUCUUAAAGGAUUGGAUCAAUAUAGGCAAGAAGGAUAAGAAUGAAAAAAUCUGUAUGUGAAGACGGAUUAAACAAGUGAGAAUAAAACUAAGUACCAAGCUCAAAUAAGUUAUACGGGUCAAAUGGCGAUCGCCAUUUGAACCCGGUAUUUAAUGUUCGGUUUGUCAAGUUUAUUACUUAUAGGUGAG
Molecule: long non-coding RNA, 496 nt
Filed under: Helianthus annuus (common sunflower)
Lineage: Eukaryota; Viridiplantae; Streptophyta; Magnoliopsida; Asterales; Asteraceae
Description: hypothetical non coding rna
Source: RNAcentral